CUUAUAAACAAUCCUCAGGGAAGACAUCUUCCCGAUAUGCUUCGCCACAUGCACUUGUAUUGAAGCUGGAAGAUGGGACGGGUCUUCUCCUCCCCUCACAAUCUGAAAAUGCCUCUCUCAAUUGAAUAAAGAGUGAACACUGCCAAUCUUUUGAUAACUAUGAACUUAUGUACAAAAAUUUAGCUUCCAAGCAUCUCUAUCUUUUGAACAGUGAG
This 215-nucleotide long non-coding RNA is filed under the name Malus domestica (apple). Its description in RNAcentral is "long non-coding RNA (MDOM_LNC004880)". Lineage: Eukaryota; Viridiplantae; Streptophyta; Magnoliopsida; Rosales; Rosaceae. The record is from RNAcentral.